Molecule: ribosomal RNA, 500 nt
Filed under: uncultured Entrophospora
Lineage: Eukaryota; Fungi; Glomeromycota; Glomeromycetes; Entrophosporales; Entrophosporaceae
Description: SSU rRNA
Rfam family: Eukaryotic small subunit ribosomal RNA
Source: RNAcentral
AGCAGCCGCGGUAAUUCCAGCUCCAAUAGCGUAUAUUAAAGUUGUUGCAGUUAAAAAGCUCGUAGUUGAAUUUCGGGAUUGACACAUCGGUCGUGCCUUAAGGGGUAUGAACUGGUGUAGUCAAUUUCUCACCUUCUGGAGAACCGCGAUGCCCUUAAUUGGGUGUCGCGGGGAACCAGGACCUUUACUUUGAAAAAAUUAGAGUGUUUAAAGCAGGCAUUUUGCUUGAAUACAUUAGCAUGGAAUAAUAAAAUAGGACGGCAUGAUUCUAUUUUGUUGGUUUCUAGGAUCACCGUAAUGAUUAAUAGGGAUAGUUGGGGGCAUUAGUAUUCAAUUGUCAGAGGUGAAAUUCUUGGAUUUAUUGAAGACUAACUACUGCGAAAGCAUUUGCCAAGGAUGUUUUCAUUAAUCAAGAACGAAAGUUAGGGGAUCGGAAGACGAUCAGAUACCGUCGUAGUCUUAACCAUAAACUAUGCCGACUAGGAAUCAGACGAUGUUAA